UACGUAGGAGGCAAGCGUUAUCCGGAAUGACUGGGCGUAAAGGGUGCGUAGGUGGUUUGACAAGUUGGUAGCGUAACUCCGAGGCUUAACCUCGGCACUACUACCAAAACUGUUGGACUCGAGUGCAGGAGGGGCAAAUGGAAUUCCUAGUGUAGCGGUGGAAUGCGUAGAUAUUAGGAGGAACACCAGUGGCGAAGGCAGCUCACUGGACUGCAACUGACACUGAGGCUCGAAAGUGUGGGUAUCGAACAGG
Molecule: ribosomal RNA, 253 nt
Filed under: uncultured Eubacteriales bacterium
Lineage: Bacteria; Bacillati; Bacillota; Clostridia; Eubacteriales
Description: uncultured Clostridiales bacterium partial 16S ribosomal RNA
Rfam family: Bacterial small subunit ribosomal RNA
Source: RNAcentral